AUGGGAGCUCUGUCAUGGAGCUACCAGCAUCUUAAUGCGCAGAUUAGACAAUGCUUUGCUUACUGUAGUAUGUUCCCUAGAGGACAUCAUUUGAGACGUAAUGUGUUAGUUAAGUUGUGGGUGGCAGAAGGGUUUAUAAGAAGUACUAAUGCUGGGAAGGAAAUGGAAGAUGUUGGUCAGGAUUACUUUGACGAACUUGUGUCAAUCUCAUUUCUGCAAUAUGGGGGAAAAGAGUCCUGCGGUGAGGACUACUAUUUAAUGCAUGAUCUUCCGUACGAUUUAGCAGAGAGGAUCGCUGGAGGCGAUUACUUUAGAAUUGAGGACGGGUGGACAGGAGAAAUUCCUCCAGGUGUUCGCCAUCUUUCUAUUGAUACCUAUAAUGGGGAUAAGCUUGCCAUGAAGACUAUUGAAUUGAAAAAAUUGCACUCUCAUCAUCAAAGAUAUCCAAUUAUCGACACAAGAUGA
RNAcentral lists this ribosomal RNA (465 nucleotides) under Triticum aestivum (bread wheat). Its description in RNAcentral is "partial small subunit ribosomal RNA". Lineage: Eukaryota; Viridiplantae; Streptophyta; Magnoliopsida; Poales; Poaceae. The record is from RNAcentral.